Molecule: ribosomal RNA, 164 nt
Filed under: Cardamine enneaphyllos
Lineage: Eukaryota; Viridiplantae; Streptophyta; Magnoliopsida; Brassicales; Brassicaceae
Description: 5.8S ribosomal RNA
Rfam family: 5.8S ribosomal RNA
About the family: 5.8S ribosomal RNA (5.8S rRNA) is a component of the large subunit of the eukaryotic ribosome.
Source: RNAcentral
AAAACGACUCUCGGCAACGGAUAUCUCGGCUCUCGCAUCGAUGAAGAACGUAGCGAAAUGCGAUACUUGGUGUGAAUUGCAGAAUCCCGUGAACCAUCGAGUUUUUGAACGCAAGUUGCGCCCCAAGCCUUUUGGCCGAGGGCACGUCUGCCUGGGUGUCACAA